GGCCGCGCUCACCGUCGCCGCUGCCUCCGCUCCGGCCGCGGCCCGCGGAGAGGCCCAACUCGACCUCGGUGGGGCGUGGGAGGCCCCGACUGGAGCCCGUGCGGCAUCCCCAGCACCCCCGCGAGCCCGUGGGUUGGGAGCGGCCCCCUCGGCGCCCCCUCCGAGCCGCCGGCCUUGCCCCUCUCACGACGGCCCUGCCAGGUGGGACGGCCGAGCAGGUUUGAAUGUGACCUGUAGAAGACGGCGAAGAUGUCGCUUCACAACACCAGAGCCUCGGUGCUCCUGGCCUGGGUGAACAGCCUGAAGCUGGGGGAUGCGGUCACUUCGUUGUCUGAGCUCCAGGAUUGCAGCCUUUUCCUCAAGAUCAUCGGCAAAAU
Non-coding RNA from Notechis scutatus (mainland tiger snake), 377 nucleotides. NCBI's taxonomy places the organism in Eukaryota, Metazoa, Chordata, Lepidosauria, Squamata, Elapidae. The record is from RefSeq and is a predicted model, not a curated record.